AUUGAACGCUGGCGGCAGGCCGAACACAUGCAAGUCGAACGAGUGGCGGACGGGUGAGGAAUGUCGGGGAAACUGGCGGAUGGAGGGGGAUAACUACUGGAAACGGGAGCGAAUACCAGAUACCAUCGGAUGUGCCCAGAUGGGAUUAGCUAGUAGGUGGGGUAAAGGCUCACCUAGGCGUCGAUCCCUAGCUGGUCUGAGAGGAUGACCAGCCACACUGGAACUGAGAGACGGUACAGACUGCUGCGGGAGGCAGCAGUGGAGAAGAUUGCAGAAUGGGCGCAAGCCCGAGCCAGCCGAGCGGCGUGUAUGACGCAGGCGUUCGGGUUGUAAGGUCCUUUCAGCGGGGAGGCGUUACCCGCAGGAGAGGCGCCGACUAGCUCCGUGCCAGCAGCCGCGGUAAUAC
This 406-nucleotide ribosomal RNA is filed under the name uncultured bacterium. RNAcentral's name for it is "partial 16S ribosomal RNA". It matches the Rfam family "Bacterial small subunit ribosomal RNA", at positions 29 to 526 of the family's 1533-position model. The record is from RNAcentral.